Molecule: non-coding RNA, 10793 nt
Organism: Heterocephalus glaber (naked mole-rat)
Lineage: Eukaryota; Metazoa; Chordata; Mammalia; Rodentia; Bathyergidae
Source: RefSeq, a predicted model, not a curated record
UUAGCGUCAGUCUGUGGUUUUUUGCCUUCCUGUCUCUCUCCAUGGCCCAAGAGCCAGGAGAACAGGGUCAGAGGCCAUUGCAUGCUUUGCCCACAGCAACUUUAAGCUGUCAUUUAGCUCUAGAUCCCUCUGGUUCUAUAUAGUUUCACUUUCUUCAUUUAAAAACAACUUUGAUCUGAAGAAUCAGAAUACCAGUAAGUAACCUAUUGAGAUUUAUGUGUGAGGCUGGUAGGAAACAUCUUAAGUGCAAUCAAAUAAUAAAUUAUAUCUAGAGGAAUUUUCAUACAGGUCUCUUCUCCUUUGAAGAAGUCAGAUGCUGCUCUGAGUUCCAAGGUUAGAAUUCUACUCUGUUUCUACUCAGGCUGGAGGCGGGUCUUCUUGUAAACUGGCAUCCAGCCACCUUCCUUCCACACAGCUGGAAUUUCUUUUGUAUUUUUUGUUUGUUUCCCCUACCUUCCCACCCCCUUCCCUCUCUUCCUUCUUUCAUUCUUGUGCUGGGGAUCAAAUCCAGGGUUUCCUGCAUGCUGGGCAAAUGUUGUGUCACUGUGCUACAUCCCCAGUUGGAGCCCUGAGGAGUCAUCCAUGUAGCAACUGGGUUGGGGCCCAGCCCUGCAAAUCCACCAGCCCUGGAGCCUCAACUGUGACCUCUCUUUUCCUCACUUGCCUUUCAGGAACAGGAAGAGCAAAUAGGUUUCAUGUUACUAUUACCAUGGUGAAUUUGGCGUUGAGGUCGAUAUAUGCGUUAGUAAAAUAAAACUCAAGAGACAUCACAUAGAAUUUGUCCAGGAUGCAGGAGAGACAAUGCCAUGGCUGGAUGGAAGGUGGUUCUAGACUUCUGAAUGUAGUCCCCAGUCCUUGGCCACUGGAAGACUCUGAGUGCAGGGAAAUGUUUCUUCUCAGCUUUGCCACAGACAAAGUGGCAAGAGUACCAUCCAUGGGACAGGGUUUCUUCUGUGGACCAGUGAGGGGUAAGGAGUGAGGCCCAGCAGUGCUGGACUCUGCUUCUGAAAUCUUCAGCCUUUCCAUCUCUAGGAAACCCCAGGGAAGCUGGCGAGGGUGAUUUCCCAGGAAGACGUCAUGUCUCUGAGUUCUGUGACAUGUGGACUGUCCAGACCCUGGAUGCAGUGGGCCUACCCUGGGCUAGUGGCCUUGGCUCCCUCCUGGCUUCCCUUGCUUGGACCUCGUGCAGGUGACUUACUGAGAAAGCAUCACAUGCACAGAGACUGGCCUGGGCUUUAAACAUGGUAAGCAGCUGACAUCACACACUGGGAAACACUUCCUCUGGGCUGGUGGUGCCCAGAUCCUAGGCUCCAUGAUUGUGGUGCACAGGCAUCCUGCUUCCGGUUCUCUUCUCCCUCUCUUGUGCUUCUCACCCUUCCAGACUUGCUUCAGCAUCAGAGGACAGGAAAGACCUGGGUCCUACCCCACCCUGACAAGGCUGCAGGUGACAGCUACAGAGAGGCUGAGGCAGGAAGGUGACUUAAGCUCAGCCUGUGCUACGUAUCAAGACCCUGUCUCAAACAGAUAAGUAAUUUUUUUUUUUGGCGGUACCAGGGAUCGAACUCAGGACCUUGUGCUUCCAAGGCAGGCAACAGCACCACUGAGCUAAAUUCCCAGCCCCUCAGAUGAAUAAAUUUUUAAAAUAAAAACGAGUUCCUCUUCUUGGAACCAGUUGCCUAUUAGGCUGACCCAUAUGAAAUUUCAUUUUUGUUAGUCAAAUAUUGACUAUUUUAUAUGGUUCAACCUAAUAUAUUUCCAUUACUCUGGGACAGAAGCACAUUGCAUUUAUUUAUUUAUUUAUUUAUUUGAGACAGAGGCUCAUCAUGCAAUUCAGGCUGGUCUUGAACUCGUUACAUAGCCCAGGCUGGCCUUGAACUUGUAGCGAUCCCUCUGCCUCAGCCACCAUAAAGCCCAGCUAGAUGCACAUUUUAAUGGGUAUCUGAGAUCUUAACCACUUGUGUUCCUCCUCAUCCUAUUGUUCCCUCAUCCUAUUGUUCUUAAAAAUUAUUUUUAACAACAGGAAGAAAUGGCCACAACCUGUGGACUGUACUUCAAAGGAAAAUUACCCUAGCAAGGCUCCAUCUGGCUCCAGUGUCGGGACAAUUAAGAUGACUAUUAAAGCUAGGCAUGAUGGGGCACACCUAUAAUCCUUACUCUCUGGGAGGCUGAGGCAGGAGGUUCACAGGUUCAAGUCCUGCCCAGGGAACUUAGUGAGACCUUGUCUCAAAAAUAAACAGCACUAAAAAAUAAAUGAAUAGAUAAAUAAAUAAAUAGCACUGGGUCUGGGUGUGGUGGCCUAUGCCAACCUGGGCUACAUAGUGAGUUCAAGGCCAUCUGAACUACAAAAGGAGAACAUGCCUAAAGAAAAAAAAAAAAAGCACUGGGGAUGUAGCUCAGUACAAAGGCAAGAAAGAUGACUACUGAGCACCCUUUCUUUCAUUAUUUAAAAUCAAAAAAACAACAAAAAAUGGUGCAGUGGUGCCUGCUUGUGGGUCUGGAUACUAGGGAAGCUGAAGCAGGAGGAUUAUUUGAGCCUAAGAGAUCAGGAAUAGCCUAGGCAACCUAGCAUGACCCUGUCUCAAAAAAAAAAAAAAAAAAAUUGGUCUCUGGGUAGCUCAGCCAACGCUAAAGGCUGAGACCAAUUCCAAACUUUUCCAUUUUGGGAGGUGUUUGCUUUUAUAUGGAAGCCUGAAAUAGGAUUUCUCUUCCCAUCCUGGGAGAUGUGUGGGGAGGAGGCUGCUCCCUAACCUUCCAGCCACCUCGGUGCAGGGCGGUGCUGGGCGGCCGCAGUGUGCGCUUUUGACUGAAUGCACUUGCCGUGUGCAUUCAUCGCACCAUUGUCAGUGUGUGUGUCUGGGGCUGCCUCUGGGAGUGUGUGUUUCUUUCUGUGUCUGCGUGUCAGUGUCAGGCUGUGCGUGUCUAUUUAUGUCGGCCUGUCUGGGCGCGCUCAGUGCGACAAGGAGCUGGGGGUGGUUCUGGUUAAGAGGGAAGGCAUUUCAGAGCCCCAGCUCUUCCCCUGGGCUGGGGAGGACAUGGACAGAUGUCCAUGCCCUAUGGACGGGUACAGGGGUUCCCGUGCUGCUCAUGAUGGGGUAGCAUUCACGUGUCUGUCCAGGUGUGCCAGGAGCAGCAGCUCUGCCGACCACGAGAACACAGAUUCGCCUUCCCACCUGCCAUCACCUUGGUCUAUGGGGACCCAGUCCCUUCUCAGCACACCGUCUUCUCUCUAAUUUAUUAGCUGGGAUGGAGGAGAAAAUGAAAUGUUGCCUGAAGACAAUGGCUGAGACAGCAGGUCGCACCCAGCACAGGCGCCUACACCUCUCGCCCCAUCCCUGUCUCACCUCUUUAGUUGGGUCGCUGCACAUACUCUGCUAAGCCUGCAGUAAGCAAAAAAGACCCCCAAGCCAUUCUAUAAAAAUACACCCGCUUGGACAUGCAGAAGUAGCUGCAGACCGCUGAGGACAGGACAGACCAAGAAGAUGAAGGUUCCAGCCAAGUUCAGAUCUGCUGGGCCAAUAGACACAAGGCCCCUCAUCCCCUGCCCGGUGCCCCAACCUCUAAAUCCCAGCCCUUCUCCCCAGCUCCCAGCCAGGCAGUGGAGGGGAAAGGGGCCCAAGGCAGCUGCAAGGGCUGUGUUAGUAAACACUUUCCUGGGUUCCCAUUUUCUUCCCCCCACCCCACCCUUUCCACUCCCCUAUGGCCCUUACACACUCCCACCCCCAGCAUCCCCCUUUCUGUGGCCUGCACAAUGAACUCAUUGUCCCGGGUGUGAUUUGAAUAAGGGAUCGGGCGGGCCUGUUCCCAGCAUUGUCCAAGGGGCUGGGAAAAACCCCAGCACAGGCAGGAGGACCAGACCAGACAGAGACAGAUGCCUAAAUUAGCAACAAAGCUUUGUGCAGGUCCCCCGGACAAGGGCUCGCCUUGUUUGCGUGGACUCGAGGGUGUGGAGCUGGCCGGCUGCUUGCAUGUCUCCCCAUGUUAAUUAGUUUUGCAUGCAUGUCUGAGAAGGUGCCAAGGGAGAUGUGUUUGCCUUUCCCUGGGAGGGGGCCCUGUUUGUGGUUGGCCAGCAGGCUGAGGGCCCUGCAGCUGAGAAGGGCUGGGCCUACUUGGGGAGCCAGACUCUGAGCCUGGGGGGGGUCUCCUCCAUCUCUGUCCUUGGAGGUGCCUGGCUUUGCUCCCUGUGCCCCUCCACUGCUACUCUGCUCAUCAGAGGGUUGGUCAGCCCUGAUGACAGGGAGCUCACUGGCUUCCACCCGGACCCAGGCCAAUGCCUGUCCAUCUGGCAGUCUGCCUCUUGCAACACAGGGCCCUUUGGGACCGGGCAGCAGAAGCGACCAGUCUGGUCUCUCCUCCAUCCCUGAGCCAGAUGGCCAGUCUGCUGAUUGCAUUAUGGCCUCCCCUGUCCCCAGACCCCUGCUGCCUGUGGUGGGCCAAGAUCUUGUUUAGGAUAUGAUGAGAAGACCCCUCUCAGGCCUUUGUUGAGUCCUGACCUGAAAGGAAUGGGAUCUGAUAGGCAGGGCACAAGGCAUGGCCUGGCCACCACCUUGCUGUGUGACUGGGCAGGCCAGGCUCCCCAAGCCUAGAGUCCCCAUUUUCUCACUGGCAAGAUGAGUGAGGUGAACUUCAGGAAUCUCUUUGUUCCUUUCUACUUGAAGAGUCUGUGAUGGUGGUGGCGGUGCUGAUCCCUUCAAACCUGUGCUCAUUCAGUACAACAACAAGAAUGGGAGCAUGGAUUCUGACUGGGGGCGGAGAAUGUAUCUCAGGAAGGAUUUCAUCUCCACCUACACUCAGGUGCAGACCUGUGUUUUCGGAUCAGGCUGAGGAGCAGGAACAGGCAGAGCUAUCUUCUCAGGCCCUUAAAGUCCUCCUCCACAGCCUGAGCCUUAUCCUCGGCCCCUAUGCAGCAGUGGUGGGAAACAGGCUAUGGCCAGUGGGAGAGGCUGGCCAUGGCCACAUAGGAGAUGCUGGAGGGAGAGCAGCUAUUGGUUGAGGUCCUGGGUGUGUCCUAGUCACCCUCUGCAGGCCCUGGGACAGGGGACAGGGGACAGGGCUGAGCAGGGGCUGGAUGCCUGCGAAGCAGAUCUGAGCUAGUUUAUACCUGCAUUUUUGCCCCCUCCCCAGUCCCACUCAGUAACCAGUAACCGGGGAGCAGCACCAUUCCUCUUGGUCAUGUGUGUGGGUCUUUCUCAGGACUCAGUUCUGAGGCAUUGGAUGCUUAAACUCUUUGUUGGGUGCUCCCGGCCAUUCAGCCCGCCAGCCUUGCCCUUGUCAUGUAGCCUCUGUGUUAACCGUAACUCCAAAGGCCAGUACUUCUCCCAGUCCAAGAACUCACAUGGUAAAAUUCCCAGUUCCAUCUCAUUUCUUUCAGUCCUGGUAACCCCUACGGACAAACGGGGAAUUUUGUCUCUUGUGCAUGUUUUAAGUGAGUUGGGGUGCCCCUGGUUCCAGAAAUACUGGGGUCCCAAGGAAAAGCUUGUCAUGCCCAGGUUCUCUCUUUUGUCCCCUUUUUUUUGCCUUCCCCACCCAUCUCUGACACUCCCCCUCUCUCCCCAGGUGUUGUGGGGUGCACUUUGCUCUGAGGCAGCAGCUGGCCAGAGGGACCCACAGGGAGCCCUCACUUGACCCCGGGCUCUGCCUCUAGCAGGCACCACCCUCCACUGGCUGUCCUGCGUCAAUCAGUCCCCACACUAGGGAACUGCGCACCACCUUCCCUCCCCUUCCCCAUGCUUCCCUCCAGGUCUUAGCUGCCUCAGCUGUAGCUCUGAGCCCCUUAAUCUGGUGAUCAGUAUGGUGCUAGGGGGUGGGCUGGCAGGAGCUUUAGGAGGUGACAGGGGAUCUUAGGAGUCGCACUCUGCUAAUGGAGCGUCACUGAGCAUCACGCAAAGCCUGGGAAUCACAUUCCAGGCGCGGCUCCCCCUCUGGAGGCAGCAGCCCUGACUGGGCUGGCCCCAGCAUGGGUGGUGGCCAGUGGAGGGCUGGGGCACAGGCCCGCAUGCAGUCAGCUGUCACCUGGCUUUGUUCCUUUCUGCAUGGCUAAGGUUUUAUUGUUCAGUAGCUGUCACCAACCUUACCCCAGCCCCCAAACCCUCUGGCUGCCAGUCCCAGUUAGAAGAUGCCAUCUGCACAUUUGCAGGUAUUUGUCCCCUCGGCCAGCCAGGAAAAUGCAGUAUGGUGUUGGGGACAGAUUUAUUCUAAAACCAAGCAAGUCUGCUAGACAGCAGGCCUCCUAUGUUAGACUGAUCGUCCUGAGAAAACCCAAGGAGUCAGGAGAUUGAAAUUGUGGUAACAUUUAAGCCUAGGUGGUGGUGAGGCUGUAGCCUGGCAGGAUGGGCGCAGCUUAGGCUCAGACCUUGGCUGGAGAGGAGGGGAGAGGAAUGGAUGCUAUGGGCAGAGGCCUAGCGCAAGAUCUCUGGCCAGUAGAUGCCUGAAUGUUUUGGAGCCUCCACACCCUCAUGUACAAAAUGGGAAUAAUAACUUGUACCUCUGGAGGUGCUGUGAGGAGCAUCAGCACAUAGGAAAUACUAAACAGGGUUAGUUUUCCUUCUCUCCCUUAGGUAUGGGACAGAUAUAAAGGAUCUGAACUUUUCAAGGUCAUUUAAUACAGCCAUGACUUCAGAGAUGGGGACAGUAGUGAUAUCAAAGACAUUUGAGCACUGGUUCAGCCUGGGUACUGACCGGUCAGGAUGGUAACGGGUCCAAACCAGCCCAGGGAGGAGGGUUCAGCCAGGCUGGGAUCAGUGCAUUUGUCUUUGUGUCCUUCUGCUACAUCAUGCAUCUGUUUGUCACCAGGCACAUGGACGUCUUUCAAGGGCAGCUCCUGCCAAGGUCAUGCAGUGUGGAAUCCUGGGACUUCCUUUGCAUUUGGAGCAGAUUGUCCUGUGACGGGAAGUGAUGGGACAGCCUCUUUUUCAGCUUUUAUGGAAACAGAGACAGAAGAAUGGUGACUCUUGCCAAGGUCACAGGAUUGGAAGAUGGAGCCAGGCUGCCCCGGACAUGGGAGAUCAUCAGAAGGGGAAGUGAAAAGCAGAGCAGGGGAAAAAGACUCAGCAGCCACUGUCCUGUGGUGCAGUAGUAGAGGGGCGCCAGGAUGGGGGCAACCUGGGAAUCCUGCCUGUCUGGGACUUUGCAGGAAGCCCGAGGAAGUGCACCCCAAACCUUCCCAUGGGUCCUUUGCCUUUGACUUGUUGGGAUCUCCUCCACCACUGCCCUCCUUGUCAUGCCCCACCUGGCCUGUUCUGGGCUUGGUGUACCAUGGAACACUGGCAAAGGAAGAUGUCUCCCCAUCCGCAUUUCUACGCCAAAGCACGGGGCGGGGGGGAUUCUGGGAAGUUGCUGAAGCUUGGGCUCCAGCCUGAUAGGAGUUAAUGACUCCCUCUCUGCAGCUGUCCUCCCCUUGGUGCUCCUCUUCCUCCCUCCUCCUGUCGAAGCAGGCAGGGCCUGGGCUCAGGAGCCAGGCUGCUGUGCUGUUGCCAGGGGAGCCGGGAGCCAGAUCUGAGCUAUGCAGGGAAAAGGCUCAGGCUGUCAAAGGGUCUGAGAUGAACCGCCGCCGCCCCCGUGCAGCUGGGCUCAGACGUGUCUCAGCUCUUGUUCUGUGCCUGAGAAUGGCAAAGCCCAGUGAGAGGUUCAAGGGCAAACUCGCUAUUCAUUAGUCAGGGGUUCUUGACGUCCGGUCUCUCCAAGGGAUGGGUUACCCCCCCUUCCUCUUUCUCUCCCUCCAGUGACACAUUCCUGGGUGCCUUUGGUGAGGACUAUACACCCUCCCCACAGGCCUCUGAAUAAACUCCCCUCGAGGAGACCAGGCAGGACAGAGACAAUGGUUUCAGGAAGCCAUUCAGGCGGGACCCCAGCCACACUGACCUGCCCUUUACUCCCAGGGCCCCUAUAGGCCCCUCUGUCCUGUGACUCAGGGUACCCUGGGGUCACUAGCCUGCACAAGGCUGGAGAGGAGGAAGCCACUGUGCAUUGCCCUUAAGGACACCAGGCAGCACAGUGCCAUUCUUGAUGGGCUCCUUCAGUGCUUCUGUCUCACUGGCUGGUAUUUGUGUGCCUUCUGUACCAUUCUGUGUAUAUUUUAAGACACUCUGUAAUACUGUUGGUUGGGAAGUGUAAAUUAUACAAUCUUUUCUGAAAUGUGGCUAUAUUAGAGUGUAAAGGACACACAUACUUUAUCACAAAUUGCACCACUCUGUACAUAUAUUUGCAAAAGUUCCCAAAGUAUGUGGAAGGAUGUUCAUGGGAUCUUUUUUUUUUUUUGGUAUGGGGAAUCGAACUUGGGUCCUUGCACUUGUGCAGCAGGCAGUGAAACCACUGAGCUAAAUCCCCGGCCCCGGGAUCAUUUUUUUAAAGAGUGUAAGGAAUGGAAAUGGGCCAAUGGGCCUUUUCAUAAUGGGAAUACUAUCAUAGGCAGCUAUAAAAGUCCAUAUGGUGGGUCUCUCUCUAUAGAUUGACAUGGAAGGUUGGUCAGUGUGUAUUAUUGGGUGAGUAGAAUAAAUUGUAGAACAGGUAAUAGGAAUGAUCUUAUUUGUUUAUAUUUAAAAGUCAGAUAUAGGAGCUGGGCAUGUAGCUCAGUGGUAGAGCAUGUGCUUAACAUAUACAGGCCCUGAGUUUGAUCCCCAGCACCCAACCCACCCAGGUGGGCUAAAUCUAUGUGUGGUGUCACACUCCGGAAAUUCCAGCAUUCUGCGAGGCUGAAGCAGAAGGAUUGCAAAUUCAAGCCAAGCCUGAAUGUCUUAGUGAGACCUUGUCUCAAGAUAAGGGGGGGAGGAUACAGCUCAGUGGCGCUGUGCCUGCCUCAUAAGUGUAAGGUCCUGAGUUCGAUCCCUGGUGCCCAAAGGCGGGGGUGCUGGGGCAGAGUGCUGGGAAUGUAGAUCACUGCAAAGACUCCAAGUUCACUCCCAAGCACCCCCCCCCAAGUCAUAAGUAUGCUUAUACAUAGAUAUUUCUAAAAAUAUAUAUUGGACAGCUACCUCUGGGAAUUGGGGAUGGAGGGAUGUACUCUUCCAUACGAUUAUAUUUUCUUUCCAGGUUAGUGUUUGAUUGAUUGAUUGAUUUUUUUGUGGUACUGAGGAUUGAACCCAGGGCCUUUAUACUGAGCUACAUCCCUACAGUCCCAGCCCUUUUUUAUAUUUUUAUUUUGAGACAGGCUCUCACUAAGUUGCUAAGUUGCCCAAGUUGGCCUCAAACUUGCUAUCCUCCUGCCUCAGCCUCCCAGCAUGCUGGGAUUACAGGUGUUCACCAUCGUGCCUAGCUCCAUGUUAGUGAAACAGUUUAUGAAACAUGGGGCUAUUUAAUAUACUAGGCUUAACUUCUGUCAACCAACUUGGGGUAGGCACUCCAUGGUGUUGGUGGUGACUGGAAAAAGCAUGCCAGAAUCACCAAUGGCCUUUGCCAUUGGCCUUUCCAGUAAUCACCUAUCAUCAUCAUAGCUGCUAGUGUUAAUCAAAAGCCUAGCAAGUGCCAGGCUUCAUUUCUCUGGUUUUGCUUAGGUAGGUGUCAUUGGUUUGCUCCUGCUCCUUGGCAGGUGAGGGGUGGAGUCAGCCUGACCCAGGCUGGGGGAAGGUGGGUGUGGUCUCCAUUUUCCACCAGUGGACCUGGCCUCUGAUCCCUCCAGAGCUGCCUAUUGGGGCAGGAGGAAGCCCCAGGGUCGUGCCACACAGUGGACCAUGAAUUGCAGGGAGAUGUCCCCAUCCCUUUAGCCCCAACUGGGGUGUCAUCGAACUGGGGUUAGGAGGUGGACCAGGCUGUGAAAGGCCCUAUUUGCAUAAGCAGCCUGUAUUUAGAGAGAAAGACAUCAUUGCACUAGGCUUCUAGGCCUCUCAGAGCACCAGUUGCCACCCCUGGUUCAUGAGGCAGGGAAAGAGAUGGAAAACCUACAGGUCAGGAAGCAGCUAGGGUCAACCUCAAAUCUGCUGCCAGCUAUCCAGCGAGGAAGAAGCAUUAAGAGCCUCCACUGUAGUAGAGAGUCAAGCAGAUGCCAGGUCACUUGCUUUGAUGCAGUGAAUUCUCAAUUUUACCCAUUAUGGGUGCUAUUGAUACACUUACUGUAUCAAUGAGGACAUCAAGAUCAGAAAAGUUAAGGGCUGGGGAUUUAGCUCAGUGGUUCAGUUGCUUGCCUUGCAAGUGCAAGGACCCAAGUUCAAUCCCUGGUACCAAAAAAAAAAAAAUCAGAAAAGUUAAGUUAGAGGCCCCAAGUCACUCAGCUAAAAAGUGCCAGAACUGAGAUUCAAGGCCAGUUCUUAUUGACUCUAAGGUCUAUACUCAUAACCCCAAAGAUGUCUUGUUUGGGUCACUCUAAGGAGGUCCCAGAGUGGCAACCCCUUCUGGCCAGCCUCACAAGCACAGACAUUAACUUUCCUGCAAGGUCACUUCCAAUAGUCCUGUGCCUUUAGGGUCUCCUGGGGUGUGCUCAGCCUGGGGUAGCAGAGUAUCACAGAGUAUUACAGAGCCAAAUGCAGUCCCAGGGCCUUUGGUGAGUGUUGCUGCUAACUGCUGCUGCCGCCUAGCCUCCUGGCUGCUGGUCACCUGCACUAUUCUAGACCCCUCUUCGUCCAUCCUUGACCUGAAGGAGCUUGCAAGAAGGGGCCUAAGCCCAGUGCUUCUGAGAACUGGCCUGGUGGGGAAGAUGGAGCCUGGAGAAGCAGGAAUGGGAGUCACUGGGAUUCCUCCAAGGCCACUGGGUCCCCCUGGAUGGUCCUGAGACUGCCCCAGUCCUGGGAAAGAGACCCCUUUCCACCUUGUGAACCCUCUGCUUUUCCUGCCUCAGCCCACAGUGAAUAAAAUUUCUUUGCAAAGCC